This is an RNA transcript of Carya illinoinensis, 2417 nucleotides long. It is a transcript of the gene named transcription factor UNE10, with no coding region annotated. The record is from RefSeq and is a predicted model, not a curated record. The transcript is spliced from 7 exons. NCBI's taxonomy places the organism in Eukaryota, Viridiplantae, Streptophyta, Magnoliopsida, Fagales, Juglandaceae.
AAGUCUUUCCAUUUGAGAUCCAAACUUCACCGUCUCUCUCUCUCCAUAAAUAACAAAACCUUUUUCUGCAUUCUGAACAAUCUCUCUCCUCUCCCAAACACAUGAAUCCGAGUUUAAAGCUUAAAAAUAAGCAAAAGAAAUAUAUACCCUUUCCUCCUUGUACCCCAACGCAGCCAUUGCUACCUGCAACUCCUCCCAAAAUGAGCCAGUGCGUUCCCAGCUGGGAUCUCGAUGAUAAUCCCAACCCCGCCAGGCUAUCACUUCGCUCUCACUCCAAUUCCAAUCCUGAUAGCACUAUGUUGCACUAUGAAGUAGCGGAGCUGACAUGGGAGAACGGCCAGCUAGCCAUGCACGGCUUAGGUCCGCCACGGGUGCCCGCCAAAUCCACCACCGCCACCACCAACCCCCCUGCUUCCAAGUACACCACCUGGGAAAAGCCACGCGCUAGCGGCACCUUGGAGUCCAUUGUUAACCAGGCCACUGCUUUGCCAGCCCUGCGCAAAGCAGUCCCUUUCGAUGGCAGCGACGACUUGGUCCCCUGGUUCGAACAUCACCACCACCGCGUUGCUUUGGCCGCUGCUGCCACCGCCUCUGCCACCAUGACUAUGGACGCUUUGGUUCCCUGCUCCAACCGCACCUCCGAGGCCGAACAGGCCACCCAGGGCCGCGUGGUGGAUCCACUCGCCACCUGCGUGGUCGGAUGCUCUACUCACGUAGGGUCCUGCAGUGGGGCUGCAGCCACCACACAGGACAAAGACCACGACGUCCUCUUCACGGGGAAACGAGCGGGGGAGGCGCGUGCCACCGCCGAGUGGAGCAGCAGAGACCAAAGCUGCACUGGAAGCGCCACGUGUGGGAUGGAUAGUCAUCAGAUGACUAUUGACACGUGUGAGAGGGACCGGGGUUUGGGUUCCACGUCGCUUGGGUCAGCGGAACACACCAGCUCUCACGGCAAGCCUUUCACAAAGACCACCACCACCGCCGAUGACCACGACUCUGUUUGCCACAGCUCACCGCCGGUAGGCAGUCACUGCUUGAGGGAGGCAGGUGAUCAGGACAAAAAGAAGGGUACUGGGAAAUCUUCUUUUUCAAAUAAAAGAAGUAGGGCUGCUGCAAUUCAUAACCAAUCUGAACGUAAAAGGAGAGAUAAAAUAAACCAAAGGAUGAAGACCCUGCAGAAGCUGGUCCCCAAUUCGAGUAAGGUAUCUAUUUCUUGCAUUGUUGCACAGACUGACAAGGCUUCAAUGCUGGACGAAGUGAUUGAAUAUCUAAAGCAAUUGCAAGCUCAAGUUCAGAUGAUGAGCAGAAUGAAUAUGCACCCGAUGAUGUUACCAAUGACCAUGCAACAACUUCCGAUGUCCAUGAUGGCUCCUAUGGGCAUGGGGAUGGGUAUGGGAAUCGGAAUUGGUAUGGGCAUGGACAUGAACACCAUCAACCGCUCCAACAUGGCAGGCAUUUCUCCUGUUCUUCACCCUUCUGCCUUCAUGCCUAUCACCUCCUGGGAUGGCUCCAGUGACCGAAUUCAAGCCACUUCAGGGGCUGUAAUGCCAGACCCCUUGUCCACAUUCCUCGCAUGCCAACCUCAGUUCGAGGACCUCGCCUGUUUCUAAUUGAAAUUGUGUCGUUAGACUUAUGCCACGUGUCUCGCACCUCCAAUUAAGUUGGAACUGGGAGUUAUUGGAUUUAUGCAACAUGUCUCAUAUCUAUUGUUGGAUAUGUCCCAUAUCAUAUGCCCCGGUUUCCCUGGUCAGUAGUGUGCACUUAUUGCCAUCAGGUCAUUGUACGACUCAAAUCAUAUUCAAUCUGGCAUGAAUAUCAGUGUUUACUUUGUUUAGAACGUCUUCAUGCUACUGAAUCAGUAACACCAAUGACCAUGGAUGCUUACAGCAGGAUGGUUGCCAUGUACCAGCAGCAGCAGCAUCAACCUCAACCUUCUAGUUCUAAGAGCUAAAGCUUUCUUCUGUUGGGGUCUCGUUCCUUGCAGAGCUUAGCUAGAGAGCAAAACCACAAAUUGGGUGCAUGCAAUUGCUGCAAAGAUUGUGGAGGGGAGGUUAGGAUUCCUCAAGAGUCCCUACUCAAAUUCUAGAUUCUAUAGCGAGAAAAGAUAGAUAUAUGAAGUGUAUUCCGGACCAGUUAUUGUUGUUAGCACGUAUCCUUUGGACGACAUUAAAUGCUCAAAGGAUUCACAUUAUAUCAUGUCUUGAUCUCUUUCUCACUCCGAGUCCUACAAUUCGAAUAGAAGUUUUAGAAGAUCUUGAUCUUGUGAAGGGAUGUAUUUAAAUAUCGCGAGUGAUAGUGUAUUAUUUUAGCUCCAAGAGAUGAGUGAAUGGCUAAAAGUACUGGUGCCUUUUUUGGGUAAUCAAUUUGUGAAUUACUGAUGAAUUUCGUGUAUAAUAUUCUUUUUCAUUUUCAUCCAA